RNAcentral lists this ribosomal RNA (389 nucleotides) under uncultured bacterium. Its description in RNAcentral is "partial 16S ribosomal RNA". It matches the Rfam family "Bacterial small subunit ribosomal RNA", at positions 355 to 735 of the family's 1533-position model. The record is from RNAcentral.
UGGGGAAUUUUGGACAAUGGCGCAAGCCUGAUCCAGCCAUGCCGCGUGCAGGAAGAAGGCCUUCGGGUUGUAAACUGCUUUUGUCAGGGAAGAAAUCCUUUGGGUUAAUACCUCGAAGGGAUGACGGUACCUGAAGAAUAAGCACCGGCUAACUACGUGCCAGCAGCCGCGGUAAUACGUAGGGUGCGAGCGUUAAUCGGAAUUACUGGGCGUAAAGCGUGCGCAGGCGGCUUUGCAAGACAGAUGUGAAAUCCCCCGGGCUCAACCUAGGGAACUGCAUUUGUGACUGCAAGGCUAGAGUGCGGCAGAGGGAGAUGGAAUUCCGCGUGUAGCAGUGAAAUGCGUNGAUAUGCGGAGGAACACCGAUGGCGAAGGCAAUCUCCUGGGCC